RNAcentral lists this ribosomal RNA (253 nucleotides) under uncultured bacterium. Its description in RNAcentral is "partial 16S ribosomal RNA". It matches the Rfam family "Bacterial small subunit ribosomal RNA", at positions 524 to 776 of the family's 1533-position model. The record is from RNAcentral.
UACGGAAGGGGCGAGCGUUGUUCGGAAUCAUUGGGCGUAAAGGGCGCGUAGGUGGUUCUGUAUGUCUAUCGUGAAAGCGUACGGCUCAACCGUAUUUUGUCGGUAGAAACUGCAGGACUUGAGGCUGGGAGGGGCUGGUGGAAUUCCCUGUGUAGCGGUGAAAUGCGUAGAGAUGGGGGAGAACACUCGUGGCGAAGGCGGCCAGCUAGACCAGUUCUGACACUGAGGCGCGACAGCGUGGGGAGCAAACAGG